RNAcentral lists this ribosomal RNA (409 nucleotides) under bacterium. RNAcentral describes it as "partial 16S ribosomal RNA". It matches the Rfam family "Bacterial small subunit ribosomal RNA", at positions 355 to 776 of the family's 1533-position model. The record is from RNAcentral.
UGGGGAAUAUUGCACAAUGGGCGAAAGCCUGAUGCAGCGACGCCGCGUGAGGGAUGACGGCCUUCGGGUUGUAAACCUCUUUCAGUAGGGACGAAGCGCAAGUGACGGUACCUGCAGAAGAAGCACCGGCUUACUACGUGCCAGCAGCCGCGGUAAUACGUAGGGUGCGAGCGUUGUCCGGAAUUACUGGGCGUAAAGAGCUCGUAGGCGGUUUGUCACGUCGUCUGUGAAAUCCUAGGGCUUAACCCUGGACGUGCAGGCGAUACGGGCUGACUUGAGUACUACAGGGGAGACUGGAAUUUCUGGUGUAGCGGUGGAAUGCACAGAUAUCAGGAAGAACACCGAUGGCGAAGGCAGGUCUCUGGGUAGUAACUGACGCUGAGAAGCGAAAGCAUGGGUAGCGAACAGG